CAAUAGCGUAUAUUAAAGCUGUUGCGGUUAAAAAGCUCGUAGUUGGAUUUCUGUCAAGGACAACUGGUCCGCCCCUCGGGUGAGCACAUAGUUUGGUCUUGGCAUCUUGUUGGAAACUGUUGCUGCACUUGGUUGCGUGGCGCAGUGUCCAGCACUUUCACUUUGAGGAAAUUGGAGUGUUUCAAGCAGGCACAUGCCUUUGGACACAGUAGCAUGGAAUAAUUAGAUUGGGCUUUUGCUCCAACUUGUCGGUUUCUGGAGCUGAGGUGAGAAUUAAUGGGGAUUGUUGGGGGCAUCCGAAUUUAGCCGUCAGAGGUGAAAUUCUUGGAUCUGCUAAAGACGGACAACUGCGAAAGCGUUUGCCCAGGAUGUUUUCAUUGA
RNAcentral lists this ribosomal RNA (381 nucleotides) under uncultured eukaryote. RNAcentral describes it as "partial 18S ribosomal RNA". It matches the Rfam family "Eukaryotic small subunit ribosomal RNA", at positions 592 to 976 of the family's 1831-position model. The record is from RNAcentral.